CUGUCAAAAGAAGGAACGUUCCUGACCUCGGCCCAAGGGUAUCGCUGUGCUCUGGUUUGUAUUAGCUUCAGCACCGCUGCAAUCUCACUGAAGGUCAAGUUCCCUUUUAAUAAUGCUUUAUAUAUCCAAGUCUAUCUGCAGUUAUAAAAAUGCUUCCUAAGAGGCAUUUAAGAGUAAAAUGGUCCAGUUCUGAACCAUUCCCUAGCACCUACCGAAGGAGCUCAGUGGCUCCUCUGUGUUCUCAGCGGUCAGGGAUUGGAUGCAGGAAAGAGCAAUGGGGCCAGGCAGGCACGCUUCAGGAGUAAGCACCGUGUGCAUGGCACGCUGUCAAGCUCAGACCUAUUACUGAAUACCAAGGAAGAGGCUCCCGCGAUUGAGACGGCGGGGAUAAAGCCACCCUCCUGGACCUGGCGCUCUGGUCCUGUAAUUCGCUCCUAGGGCUCCAGACAGGGGUGGGCUUACAAGCGAGGACAGUGCAUAAGGCAAAACCACAAGUCAGUCCACGGUGGGAAUGCCUCCGGAUACCACUCGGUGGAGAGUCGGCAGUGGGGCACAAAAAGGAUUUCAAAGGGCUCUGAAAACCGAAAGCCCCUAACCCGGAUACGAGGGGCCUCGAGAGAAAGCUUACUUUGUGCUCACCAUCAUCCUUUGGCCUUUCUUCUCUAACACAGUUCCUGUAUCCAGCCUCAUGCUUUGCUGUGCCUGUAACUGUCUUCUCCCCACAGAUAACCUGUCAUUGAAGUACAUGAAGAAAAUAGUCAAAUAUGUGCCCAUGGGUUUUCCUGAGUACUUCCUACAGGGUAUGCAGUCCACUCUGAAGAUCACAGCCUAGGACCAUAAGUAUGCAGUGAAUAUCUUAAAGACAAUAAAGCUCUAUCCACAGAAUUCUGAGGAUGGAGCUGAUGCUGGAAAAUCAGUAUUCUCUUAGGCAAUGUUACAUCAUCUCCUUAUAACUAUGCUACAUGCUCUCAGUAUUAUUUAUAUCAUCUUUCCUUCCCUUCCACCCAACAGUCUCAUUUCAAGAGAUUUAACCUAAAAAGAUACAAGAACAGGUGCACAUAUAUAUAUGGACAAGGUUAUGCAUCACAGCAAUUUUUAAAACAGCAACAAAAAUAAUAGCAAUAUGGUUAAAUGUGUCAAUCAUGUAUUGGCCUAUAAAAGUAUGCUAUUUCAUUAGUCUAUAGACUAAUUGGGCUACAGACUAACCAUUAAAUGCUUUCCUUCAUGUGGCACUAUA
This 1237-nucleotide long non-coding RNA is filed under the name Homo sapiens (human). RNAcentral describes it as "HSALNT0326249". The record is from RNAcentral. Lineage: Eukaryota; Metazoa; Chordata; Mammalia; Primates; Hominidae.